UGCUCAGACCUGAGGCACUAUAGUCACACUACCAUCUUCAGUCACACUACCAUCUACAGUCACACUACCAUCUACAGUCACACUACCAUCUACAGUCACACUACCAUCUUCAGUCACACUACCAUCUAUAGUCACACUACCAUCUUCAGUCACACGACCAUCUACAGUCAUACUACCAUCUAUAGUCACACUACCAUCUAUAGUCACACUACCAUCUUCAGUCACACUACCAUCUACAGUCACACUACCAUCUUCAGUCACACUACCAUCUUCAGUCACACUACCAUCUACAGUCAUACUACCUUCUUCAGUCACAUUACCAUCUAUAGUCAUACUACCAUCUUCAGUCACACUACCAUCUACAGUCACACUACCAUCCUUAGUCACACUACCAUCUUCAGUCACACUACCAUCUACAGUCAUACUACCAUCUUCAGUCACAUUACUAUCUUCAGUCACACUACCAUCUACAGUCAUACUACCAUCUACAGUCACACUACCACCUACAGUCAUACUACCAUCUUCAGUCACAUUACUAUCUUCAGUCACACUACCAUCUACAGUCAUACUACCAUCUACAACUGCACUGCCAUCUACAGUCACACUGCCAUUUAUAGUUGCAUUGCCAUCUUCAGUCACACUGCCACACUGUCAUUUACACCCACACUGCCACCUACAGUCACACUACCAUCUACUCUACAGCUGCAUUGCCAUCUACAGUCGCACUGCCAUUUACAGUUGCACUGCCAUCUACAGCCACACUGUCAUUUACACCCACACUGCCACCUACAGUCACACUACCAUCUACUCUACAGCUGCAUUGCCAUCUACAGUCGCACUACUAUCUACAGCUGCACUGCCAUCUUCAGACUGCCAUCUACAGUUGCACUGCCAUCUACAGCCACACUACCACCUACAGUCGCACGGCCAUCUACAGCCACGCUACCACCUACAGCCAUGCUGCCAUCUAUAGCCGCACUACCACCUACAGUCGCACUGUCAUUUACAGCCACACUGCCAUCUACAGUGGUGCUAACAUCUACGUUCAUGCUGCCAUCUGCAGUCAUGCUACCAUCUACAGCUGCACUGCCACCUACAGCUGUACUGCCAUCGUUAUCACAUGGGAGGACUGCAAGGACACCAGUGUUCUCCCACCACAUUUCACGUUUUUCUUCCUUGACAUGCCUCGUUCUUGCAUGAAUAAAGUUUCACAUUGCAUCUCUACUUCAAGAGAAACAAAGAAAAACAGUCCCACUAAACAGAAUCACCAACUUCCCGGCUAAGAGCUCAGAGCACUUAGAAUCUAAAUAGAAGACUGUUCCACGGUUGCGUUCAACAGUGACACGUACCUGACACUAUCCUAUUCGGAUAGGUCAGGAUCCAAGGGUAAAUCAGAGAGGAACCUAAUAAGACUCUUUAAUCAGUGAGUAACCAAUUAUUGAAAAUUAACAUUACAUUCAUAGGAGAGUCUGGCUAGCAGUUCCCUAGGGUGUGAUGGCAUGCUUCGAUGACAGCCUUCAGUAUUGAAGACCUGAUCCCUGUGGUGGAGGUCCAUUACAGUGAAUGUCCCUCUAGCCCACACUACAGGGUAGGAGAACAAAAUGAACAAUAAAACUAGAUAAAUCAGAGUUGGUUUCAGGCUUUUCAGGAGAAAAAAAAAUCCAAGAAUCCCAGAGACAGAUCCAACUGAGUUGGAACAUAGCAGGGCAGUCUCUCUUCUUAUCCAUCUGUCCCUCAUUUACUCAUGUGUGCAUUCAGGAAACUCCCAUGAAACACCUUGCAGGUAUGGGGACUGCAGGAAACGAAGGUGCAUAACACAGAAGACUGCUCUCCAGAAAGGGCACAGUCUGAGGUCUAUGGGGAGAUGGGCAAAGAAGAAGACAUUUGAAAAUGAAACAAAAAAGAAGGGCUAAUAGUCACUGAACACUACAUUUUUCUCCCAGCUCUGUCCUAAGGCCUUUACUCAGAAUAUUUCAUUUAGGCUGGGUGUGGUGGCUCACACUAUAAAACACAGUACUUUGGGAGGCUGAGCAGGUGGAUCACCAGGUCGGGAGAUCAAGACCAUCCUGGCUAAACACAGUGAAACUCC
Molecule: long non-coding RNA, 2089 nt
Organism: Macaca mulatta (Rhesus monkey)
Lineage: Eukaryota; Metazoa; Chordata; Mammalia; Primates; Cercopithecidae
Source: Ensembl